CACCGCCUGGGGAGUACGACCGCAAGGUUAAAACUCAAAUGAAUUGACGGGGACCCGCACAAGUAGUGGAGCAUGUGGUUUAAUUCGAAGAUACGCGCAGAACCUUACCAACACUUGACAUGUUCGUCGCGACUUUAAGAGAUUAAAGUUUUCGGUUCGGCCGGACGAAACACAGGUGCUGCAUGGCUGUCGUCAGCUCGUGUCGUGAGAUGUUGGGUUAAGUCCCGCAACGAGCGCAACCCUCACUUUUAGUUGCCAUCAUUUAGUUGGGCACUCUGAAAGAACUGCCAGUGAUAAGCUGGAGGAAGGUGGGGAUGACGUCAAGUCCUCAUGGCCCUUACGUGUUGGGCUACACACGUGCUACAAUGGUAUCUACAACAGGAAGCAAAACGGCGACGUUAAGCAAAUCCUUAAAAGAUACCUCAGUUCGGAUUGCACUCUGCAACUCGAGUGCAUGAAGCUGGAAUUACUAGUAAUCGUGGAUCAGCGUGCCACGGUGAAUGCGUUCCCGGGUCUUGUACACACCGCCCGUCACACCAUGGGAGUUGGUUCUACCUUAAGGCAAGGUUUAAAAUCCUUGACCACGGUAUAGUCAGCGACUGGGGUGAAGUCGUAACAAGGUAGCCGUAGGGGAACCUGCGGCUGGAUUACCUCCUUUCUAAGGAUGAAUAAAAAUUAAAUUUUUAUUCUAAAUAAUAUACAUAGGUAAUGUUGACCGUCCUCAUUUCUCUUCUUAUUUAUUAGUGUUUCUCUUGCAUGGGGGCCGGUAGCUCAGUUGGUUAGAGCACACCCUUGAUAAGGGUGGGGUCGAAAGUUCGAGUCUUUCUCGGCCCACCAAUUAAAGAUUAUUUUUAAGUUAAGGGGGAUUAGCUCAGCUGGGAGAGCGCCUGAUUUGCAUUCAGGAGGUCAGCGGUUCGAUCCCGCUAUCCUCCACCAGAAACACUUAGUUAUAUAAAAUUGUAAAUAAAAUUAAUUAAUAUCAAUAUCUAUAUCCGAACAUUAGUAAUGUUAUUAGCUAAUGUUCAAAUAAAAAUUUGAUUCAACACAGAAUUUUUUUCUG
This 1060-nucleotide small RNA is filed under the name uncultured Pelagibacterales bacterium. Its description in RNAcentral is "bacterial SSU rRNA". The stretch from base 1 to 658 matches the Rfam family "Bacterial small subunit ribosomal RNA", at positions 867 to 1533 of the family's 1533-position model. Lineage: Bacteria; Pseudomonadati; Pseudomonadota; Alphaproteobacteria; Candidatus Pelagibacterales. The record is from RNAcentral.